Pangasius djambal is the source of this 71-nucleotide non-coding RNA. The record is from the annotation of a GenBank genome assembly. Lineage: Eukaryota; Metazoa; Chordata; Actinopteri; Siluriformes; Pangasiidae.
CGCGCCGUGGCUUAGUGGUUAGCGCUGUUCUCGCGCCCUAAGGGUUGCGGGUUCGAAUCCCGCCUGUGCGC